CGGGACGUGGCGCAGGUGGUAGCGCGUACCCUUGGGGUGGGUAAGGUCGCGGGUUCAAGUCCCGCCGUUCCGA
RNAcentral lists this transfer RNA (73 nucleotides) under Brockia lithotrophica. It matches the Rfam family "tRNA". From Rfam's summary of the family: Transfer RNA (tRNA) molecules are approximately 80 nucleotides in length. Their secondary structure includes four short double-helical elements and three loops (D, anti-codon, and T loops). The record is from Rfam by way of RNAcentral. Lineage: Bacteria; Bacillati; Bacillota; Bacilli; Thermicanales; Thermicanaceae.